Molecule: non-coding RNA, 106 nt
Organism: Pelobates cultripes (western spadefoot toad)
Lineage: Eukaryota; Metazoa; Chordata; Amphibia; Anura; Pelobatidae
Source: the annotation of a GenBank genome assembly
AGCUCCCUUCUCUCUCCUUCGGUCCGGUCAGCUCCCCUGUCAGCUCGCGAGACUUGCAGUGGAGCUGACAGGGGAGCUGACCGGACCGGAGGAGAGAGAAGGGAGC